This 29-nucleotide non-coding RNA is filed under the name Rattus norvegicus (Norway rat). Lineage: Eukaryota; Metazoa; Chordata; Mammalia; Rodentia; Muridae. The record is from RNAcentral.
GAGUCAGACCGUUGAUUGGUGAUAGACCU